Molecule: ribosomal RNA, 465 nt
Filed under: uncultured bacterium
Lineage: Bacteria
Description: partial 16S ribosomal RNA
Rfam family: Bacterial small subunit ribosomal RNA
Source: RNAcentral
CCUACGGGUGGCAGCAGUGGGGAAUAUUGCGCAAUGGGCGAAAGCCUGACGCAGCGAUGCCGCGUGAGGGAUGAAGGUCUUCGGAUCGUAAACCUCUGUCAGCAGGGAAGAACGGUCACUGUGCUAAUAAGCAGUGAAUUGACGGUACCUGCAAAGGAAGCACCGGCUAACUCCGUGCCAGCAGCCGCGGUAAUACGGAGGGUGCGAGCGUUAAUCGGAAUUACUGGGCGUAAAGCGCACGCAGGCGGUAUGUCAAGUCAAGGGUGAAAUCCCCGGGCUCAACGUGGGAACUGCCUCUGAAACUGGCAGACUUGAGUGUGUGAGAGGAUGGUAGAAUUCCAGGUGUAGGAGUGAAAUCCGUAGAGAUCUGGAGGAAUAUCAGUGGCGAAGGCGACUAUCUGGCACAUAACUGACGCUGAGGUGCGAAAGCGUGGGUAGCAAACAGGAUUAGAUACCCGGGUAGUC